GUAGGGUGCGAGCGUUAAUCGGAAUUACUGGGCGUGAAGCGUGCGCAGGCGGUUUUAUAAGCCAGAUGUGAAAGCCCCGGGCUCAACCUGGGAAUGGCAUUUGGGACUGUAAGGCUGGAGUAUGGCAGAGGAGACUAGAAUUCCUGGUGUAGCAGUGAAAUGCGUAGAUAUCAGGAGGAAUACCGAUGGCGAAGGCAGGUCUCUGGGCCAAUACUGACGCUCAUGCACGAAAGCGUGGGGAGCAAACAGGAUUAGAUACCCUGGUAGUCCACGCCCUAAACGAUGUCAACCGGUUGUUGGGGGAUUUAUUCUCUUAGUAACGAAGCUAACGCGUGAAGUUGACCGCCUGGGGAGUACGGUCGCAAGA
RNAcentral lists this ribosomal RNA (367 nucleotides) under uncultured bacterium. RNAcentral's name for it is "bacterial SSU rRNA". It matches the Rfam family "Bacterial small subunit ribosomal RNA", at positions 527 to 893 of the family's 1533-position model. The record is from RNAcentral.